UACGUAGGGUGCGAGCGUUGUCCGGAAUUACUGGGCGUAAAGAGCUCGUAGGUGGUUUGUCGCGUUGUUCGUGAAAACUCACAGCUCAACUGUGGGCGUGCGGGCGAUACGGGCAGACUGGAGUACUGCAGGGGAGACUGGAAUUCCAGGUGUAGCGGUGAAAUGCGUAGAUAUCUGGAGGAACACCGGUGGCGAAGGCGGCAUCCUGGACCGGCAGUUGACGCUGAGGCGCGAAAGCUAGGGGAGCAAACGGG
Molecule: ribosomal RNA, 254 nt
Filed under: uncultured bacterium
Lineage: Bacteria
Description: partial 16S ribosomal RNA
Rfam family: Bacterial small subunit ribosomal RNA
Source: RNAcentral